RNAcentral lists this long non-coding RNA (2274 nucleotides) under Fragaria vesca (wild strawberry). Its description in RNAcentral is "long non-coding RNA (FVES_LNC000702)". The record is from RNAcentral. Lineage: Eukaryota; Viridiplantae; Streptophyta; Magnoliopsida; Rosales; Rosaceae.
GUUGUCUAUAAGUCAUGACCUGAUUGGUUAGGUAGCUUAACUGGUAACACCAUUGAGGUCGUAAGUUCAAAAAAAAAAAAGAGAGAUAAUUUCACUUUCAUACCCUGAACUUUAGGUCUAAAAUCAGUUUGAUACCUCAUCUUUUUUUUUAAUCAGUUUCAUACCUAAACUUUCAAAAUGACAUUAAUCUCGACUAAAAUGACUAAAAUAGCCCUGGUUAAUCUUUUUUAUCCUCUCAGAGUUAAGAAUGACAGCGGCGACGGCCGGGGGAGGAGGAGGGGCUGCCGCCGGGGCCCAUUGCUAGUGGUAGGGGUGGAUGCCGGUGCCGGCCAUAUGAUGAAUUUGGAGGCAGAGAGAGAGAGAGGGUAAAAAGAUUAACCAGGGCUAUUUUAGUUAUUUUGGUCGAGAUUGAUGUCAUUUUGAAAGUUUAUGACACGACCCACCCCGAAUUUCACCCUGAAACCCAAAGUAAGUCGUGCGAGGACCACCUCCAAGGAAAGUUUACCGAAAAAUCGGCAUAACCUCCCUUAAAAAUGGACAACCCUUCCUAAUAAUACCUGCAUACACUUCUGAUAAACCAAAUCAAACCUUAAACUCCUGGAGCCUUCAUGCUCCCCCAAAUCACAACAUCUCCCAAUUAUUUAAAAAUCUACACAAAUCUCAUAUCCAACCAUUUAUAGGUUCAGAGCAACACUAAUAGGAAGAAAGGAAACAUGAUAAAUUAACAAGCGGAAGCUAUAUGAUGACUAUGCCUCAUCCCCAUGUACGCCUAACCUCAACUAUGCAAUCCUGCAACUGGGCAUUUUAAAACGAAGGGCCCAGGGGAAAACAUUUGAAACCGUUAGAGUGAGUGGACAAAAACAUAAAUUUAAUGAAAAUAUUUAUGCUUUCCCAAUUUACAUUUCCAUAGAAAAUAUGCUGCAUGCGACAGCUCAAAAACGCUCAACACAAAAACUGGCAAUUUCAUAACUAGCUCCAGCCAGUCUCCAAAUCUCAAUAAAAUACAGCCUCUCAGGCUAAAAUAAAAUAUGUAUGUAUUACACUCGUCAUAUCCCUUGUAUGAAUUUUCUUGAAACAACAAAGACAAAUAGAAAAUUCACACAAGGCUACGAUGCUUGCGUCUAACGCUCACGUCACACCAUAAUGACAUUUUACCUCAUUAUGGUGGAAAAGACGGUGUAUAAAUAUACGCGCAUAUCCCUUAUAUAAAUUUUAUAUUUAUAUAGGGCUACGACGAUUGAGUCUAACGCUCACGUCGCACCAUAAUGGAAUUUUACAUCAGUAUGGUGGAAAAGCAUGUAUAGCUAGCUAGCAUUCCCUCAUAUACAUAUUAUUCUCAUAAUCAUCCAAAUAUGGAUAUAUAUAUAUAUAUAUAUAUACUCUCCGAAAUUCUCAAUUUCGGUUAUUCUCCAACAAUAAUGAAAAUUGCCAAUUAUCAUAAAAAAACAAUAUGCACACGAUUCCACCGAAAAUCUCAUUUCCGGUAACUUUCCAAAUAACACGAUAGCCAUUAAAAUUGAGAACAUUUACUUCUGAAAAUGACUUCGCGAAAAUAGACAAUUCCACAAAUUGAUAUUCAAUAAAAUCAAUCAUUUAAUGUAGAAUCACCGCAUACAUAUAUUUUAAAACAAAAGUCCACUCACAACUUUAGGCCUAAGCCUGACGUCAAUCCGAGGUCUCUUCUACUCGAGCCUCCUCACGUCCUGUUCCAAAUAUAAUAUUAAUUUCCCAGCCGAAAUUCCAAUAUUUACACAAAAUAGGCAAAAAUUAACCGAGAGCCAUUAACCCGCUCAUCUUUGCCUAACUGCGAAAUGGUCCACACAUCAACCCUAGAACCAGCAGCUAAACUACACAUUCCCACAGAAAACGGCUUAAAUCCUACGGCCGGAUUCUACAUUAUUCAACCGCCAAAAAUACCACACUUCGGAAAAUCAUAAACCUAUCCAAAACUCAUCCAAAAAUUCCAUAAUUCACUUCAAUAAACUCCCCUUAAUAAUUCAAAUUUAAAAACAUUAAAAUCUCCUAACCGGCGCCGGCGCCGGAGCCAGCCACGCCGGCAGCGGCGGCCGGAGGCCGAUUCCGGCAACCUUCAAUGCUCAUCAAAUUUUAAUAGCAUCUUCCUCUCAACCCCCUCUACAACUUUCCUAACUAGUACAAACACAAAAUUCAAACCUAACUAGGGCAAUCGAACACAGACACCUAAAGAGCCCUAGGAUUUCAACUUUGAAUUUCUCAUUACCUAGCUCAAGAGGGAGUGAGACAUUUGGAGGGGUU